AAACUAACAAGGAUUCCCCUAGUAACGGCGAGUGAACCGGGAAGAGCUCAAAUUUGAAAUCUGGCGUCCUCAGGGCGUCCGAGUUGUAAUCUAUAGAGGCGUUUUCCGUGCCGGACCGUGUCCAAGUCCCUUGGAACAGGGUAUCAAAGAGGGUGACAAUCCCGUACUUGACACGACGACCGGUGCUCUGUGAUACGUCUUCUACGAGUCGAGUUGUUUGGGAAUGCAGCUCAAAAUGGGUGGUGAGUUCCAUCUAAAGCUAAAUAUUGGCGAGAGACCGAUAGCGAACAAGUACCGUGAGGGAAAGAUGAAAAGCACUUUGGAAAGAGAGUUAAACAGUACGUGAAAUUGUUGAAAGGGAAACGAUUGAAGUCAGUCGUGACCGAGAGGCUCAGCCGGUUCUGCCGGUGUAUUCCCCUCGGUCGGGUCAACAUCAGUUUUGUCCGGUGGAUAAGGGCGGUAGGAAGGUGGCACCCUCGGGUGUGUUAUAGCCUGCCGUCGCAUACACCGGGUGAGACUGAGGAUCGCAGCUCGCCUUUAUGGCCGGGGCCCGCCCACGUACGAGCUUAGGAUGUUGACAUAAUGGCUUUAAACGACC
Molecule: ribosomal RNA, 598 nt
Filed under: Papiliotrema phichitensis (nom. inval.)
Lineage: Eukaryota; Fungi; Basidiomycota; Tremellomycetes; Tremellales; Rhynchogastremaceae
Description: partial 26S rRNA
Rfam family: Eukaryotic large subunit ribosomal RNA
Source: RNAcentral